This is a long non-coding RNA of Helianthus annuus (common sunflower), 249 nucleotides long. RefSeq lists it as uncharacterized. Lineage: Eukaryota; Viridiplantae; Streptophyta; Magnoliopsida; Asterales; Asteraceae. The transcript is spliced from 2 exons. The record is from RefSeq and is a predicted model, not a curated record.
GCUUGGCAAGCUAGGUGGAAGCUUGGGAAGGAAGCGGGUCAAACGAAUCGGGAGUAAAGGAAAAUGCAUAAACAUGAUGCAAGGUACACUUUGGACAACGGAAGACAAUCAAGCUCAUCGAAGAACCGAACACGAUAAAGAUACAUGCUUCCGCACCUUGCCUCGUCGUAAAUUUUAAACGACGAAUUCGAUCACUUAUGUUGAAUAACUUAUGAAUUGUGAAAGUUUUAAUAAACUCGUAUUCUUUUA